This 1060-nucleotide ribosomal RNA is filed under the name Roussoella margidorensis. RNAcentral describes it as "SSU rRNA". It matches the Rfam family "Eukaryotic small subunit ribosomal RNA", at positions 74 to 1141 of the family's 1831-position model. Lineage: Eukaryota; Fungi; Ascomycota; Dothideomycetes; Pleosporales; Thyridariaceae. The record is from RNAcentral.
UUAUACCGUGAAACUGCGAAUGGCUCAUUAAAUCAGUUAUCGUUUAUUUGAUAGUACCUUACUACUUGGAUACCCGUGGUAAUUCUAGAGCUAAUACAUGCAAAAAACCCCGACUUCUGAAGGGGUGUAUUUAUUAGAUAAAAAACCAAUGCCCUUCGGGGCUCUUUGGUGAUUCAUAAUAACUUAACGGAUCGCAUGGCCUUGCGCUGGCGACGGUUCAUUCAAAUUUCUGCCCUAUCAACUUUCGAUGGUAAGGUAUUGGCUUACCAUGGUUUCAACGGGUAACGGGUUUUUAGGGAAAGACUCCGGAGAGGCAGCCUGAGAAACGGCUACCACAUCCAAGGAAGGCAGCAGGCGCGCAAAUUACCCAAUCCUGAUACAGGGAGGUAGUGACAAUAAAUACUGAUACAGGGCUCUUUUGGGUCUUGUAAUCGGAAUGAGUACAAUUUAAAUACCUUAACGAGGAACAAUUGGAGGGCAAGUCUGGUGCCAGCAGCCGCGGUAAUUCCAGCUCCAAUAGCGUAUAUUAAAGUUGUUGCAGUUAAAAAGCUCGUAGUUGAACCUUGGGCCUGGCUGAUCGGUCCGCCUCACCGCGUGUACUGGUUCGGCUGGGCCUUUCCUUCUGGAGAACCGCAUGCCCUUCACUGGGUGUGUCGGGGAACCAGGACUUUUACUUUGAGAAAAUUAGAGUGUUCAAAGCAGGCCUUUGCUCGAAUACGUUAGCAUGGAAUAAUAGAAUAGGACGUGCGGUCCUAUUUUGUUGGUUUCUAGAACCGCCGUAAUGAUUAAUAGGGAUAGUCGGGGGCGUCAGUAUUCAAUUGUCAGAGGUGAAAUUCUUGGAUCUAUUGAAGACUAACUACUGCGAAAGCAUUCGCCAAGGAUGUUUUCAUUAAUCAGUGAACGAAAGUUAGGGGAUCGAAGACGAUCAGAUACCGUCGUAGUCUUAACCGUAAACUAUGCCGACUAGGGAUCGGGCGAUGUUUCUUUCUUGACUCGCUCGGCACCUUACGAGAAAUCAUAAGUUUUUGGGUUCUGGGGGGAGUAUGGUCGCAAGGCUGAA